RNAcentral lists this ribosomal RNA (253 nucleotides) under uncultured bacterium. RNAcentral's name for it is "partial 16S ribosomal RNA". It matches the Rfam family "Bacterial small subunit ribosomal RNA", at positions 524 to 776 of the family's 1533-position model. The record is from RNAcentral.
UACGUAGGGUGCUAGCGUUGUUCGGAAUCAUUGGGCGUAAAGCGCGUGUAGGUGGUUAGGUAAGUCGGGUGUGAAAUCCCUGGGCUCAACCGAGGAGGUGCAUCCGAAACUGCCUAGCUAGAGGACGGUAGAGGAAGGCGGAAUUCCAAGUGUAGAGGUGAAAUUCGUAGAUAUUUGGAGGAAUACCGGUGGCGAAGGCGGCCUUCUGGACAGUGACUGACGCUGAGACGCGAAAGCGUGGGGAGCAAACAGG